UCUUGGUCAUUUAGAGGAAGUAAAAGUCGUAACAAGGUUUCCGUAGGUGAACCUGCGGAAGGAUCAUUAAUGGAUUACAAGGGAGUGCUACCCUCACGGGUCGCCUUCCGAUUUCUCCAUCCCACCCCUUUGUGAACUCUCGCGUGGGCUUAGUACCAGGUUUCGGCCUGGGAAGGCCCGCGAUUUUAUACAUACCCCUAUGCAAGUCUCAGAAUGUACCCUUUGUGUUUAAUCGCAAAUAAAUACAACUUUCAGCAACGGAUCUCUUGGCUCUCGCAUCGAUGAAGAACGCAGCGAAAUGCGAUAAGUAAUGUGAAUUGCAGAAUUCAGUGAAUCAUCGAAUCUUUGAACGCAACUUGCGCCCCUUGGUAUUCCGAGGGGCACGCCUGUUUGAGUGUCGUGAAUUCCUCCACCUACAGCUUCAUUGUUGUAAGGCUGGGAUUUGGGGGCUUUGCGGGAUUUCCUCUAUGAGGUCCGCUCCCCUUGAAUGCAUUAGUGAAGACCUAUAGUGGCCUUGGCGUGAUACAAAACAUCUACGUCUCGGCUUGCUGUUAAUCGGGCUUUGCUUCUAACCGUCCUUUCAUGGGACACUUUACCUUUGAACUUGACCUCAAAUCAGGCGGGACUACCCGCUGAACUUAAGCAUAUCAAUAAGCGGAGGAAAAGAAACUAACAAGGAUUCCCCUAGUAACUGCGAGUGAAGCGGGAAGAGCUCAAAUUUAAAAUCUGGCGGUU
RNAcentral lists this ribosomal RNA (735 nucleotides) under Vararia vassilievae. Its description in RNAcentral is "eukaryotic LSU rRNA". The stretch from base 247 to 400 matches the Rfam family "5.8S ribosomal RNA". The record is from RNAcentral. Lineage: Eukaryota; Fungi; Basidiomycota; Agaricomycetes; Russulales; Lachnocladiaceae.